Long non-coding RNA from Apis laboriosa (Himalayan honeybee), 4031 nucleotides. RefSeq lists it as uncharacterized. NCBI's taxonomy places the organism in Eukaryota, Metazoa, Arthropoda, Insecta, Hymenoptera, Apidae. The record is from RefSeq and is a predicted model, not a curated record. The transcript is spliced from 5 exons.
GAAAAUUUUUAUUAAUAAGUCGAUGCUGGAACGAACGUGGAGGGAGGAAUCGGAAUUUCGAGUGGAGCGUGGCUGAUUCAAUGAAAGUAUCCUCCUGAAAACGACGAGGGAACAAGCUCGAACAACCAAAGAGAAUUUCUCGAGAACCUGCGUGGAAUUACUAUCCGGUGGAGAGAUUGAAUCGUCAGGAAAGAAACUUGAGCACCAGGAAUUCGAGCACCGUCCACCCGAGCAUCGAAGCGAUAAUUACAAGGAAAUCGAGUGCGAACGAGCGGUGUUUAUCGGCUGCGAUCGGCCAAGCCACUGGCGGGCCAAUCGAUAAAAAGAGAGAGAGAAAGAGAGAGAGAGAGAGGGGAAGAGAAUCUGUGUCAGAGGUUGCUUAUGCCUCGGAUUUAUGGGUUUGAUUACUCGCCGUGGCGGCAUACGUGCCGCGAUUUUGUAUGGGUAAAUCGUGAUCCUCCACGCCUCCUUGCCACGGCCUUCCCUCCACCCCGCCCUGGCGAAACCCCGAUCGCGUAUAAAGUUAUCGCAUUCCCGGCCCCGUAAGUGUCCAUUGUCUACUUUCAGGCCCGCAUUAUGCCCGUUCCUUCUCUUCCCACCGACUUCCCAUCCUGCCCGCUGUAAUUUCACUUUUACAGCCGCGUAUCCAAUUGACCGGCGAUAAUCCCCGUGUGUGCCACCUCUCCUCCUCAUCCUCUCUUUGCUCCGACGAAUCUUUACUCUAAAUCUGCUCGUUAGAUCCUAUGGAAAUUUAUGUAAUAAUUCUUCUCAAACUCCAAUGUUAGUAUACACGUUAUUGGAAAGUUUUGCAAGGAAGAAUUGUCAGAGGUUUGUUGAACAAGUUUGUUGAGAUUUUUAUGUAUAUAUAAUUGUAUAUCACAAACUUCACUUUUAUAUUUCUUUCCUUCUCGUUUCAUAUUAUAUAUCACUCUAAAUUCUCGCUCAUAAUUCUCAAUUUUCUCUCUCGUUCCAAGGUACUUACGGGCUGGAGCAAAGACGCAACCAUCAGAGCCGUGAUGAUGGUGAAGAUGGAGGGGCACGAAACGGUCGAAAAACGGCGCAUCAAUCUUGCACCGGCUCUCCCGAAGCGUGGCCAAAGUCCCUCGAGGAGGAGGACGGUGUCGGGGAGAGACGUCGCUCGGCGAGAAGAUGAGAAACGUCGCGGGAGGUCCGGGAUUGAUGGACAUCCUCACCUACACGCCUGAUUAUUUGCCACCACACGCAGCUUUCGGCCCCAACCCGUAACCCGGCUCCGUAACCGCUCUUACGCGUGUUGCCACGGAUUCACACCGAUAAUCACGUCGAUCGUUAGCGCCUCAUUCACGCCUCAUCUCGACAAACGUCGCUGGAUCGUUGAUUUCCAUACCUUCCUUACCUCGUUCUCGAGGUUUCGAAGAAGUUAGAUUUUCUUGGUUUUUGAGAUUAGCAUCGAUUUGAAAUUCAAUUUUUAUAUAAUUUAUAUAUGGGUAUUUAUAUAUGGGUAAUGCUUUGGACUUUAGUGUUUAAGUAAGUUAGUCUUGGAUUUCUUGAUUUUUGGAGUUAGCAUUGCUUUGGAAUUCAAGGGUUUUUAUUUAGUUUGAUGAAUAAUGCUUUUAAUCUUUAAAUACAUUUCUAUAUUUCCUUCUUUUUGAGGUUAAUAUCGAUUCUUCUUUACUCUUCCUAUCUUAUAGCUUCCAAGAAGUUAAAGGAUACCUCUUUAUGAUUAAUCUCUCGACUUUUAGUCUUUGAUCUUUCGCAUCUUUGUGAUCUUUAUCCCCAUUUUACAUCAUUCUACAUCGUUCCUUUUCCAAUGUUUAAAAUUCCCACUAAUGUUUCCACCGAUUCGUUCCCUUCUCAAACGGCAACACCUUGAUUCACGAACAAAUUUCAAUUACUCUCCCAUUCGUUUAAAUUAAGAGUUUGAUUUUUCAAUUCAUUCGAAUCAUUUCCCCAUUUUCUUGCUUGCGUGAUUUUUAAUCGACCAAGUAAACGGGAGGUAAGCAGGUGUAACCGCAUUAUAAAAGCCGCUUCUCAACACCUCAUCUCUCAUCGCGUUUCUUCGUUGAUGAUGCUCGAAACUGGUCGGCUCAUUAGUAUGUGAGGGGCUGGUUGCCACCUACCGGGCGGGGCAGCGGGUCAUUGAAACAAUGGUGUUAUGACUAGACAUCAUCAGAGAGUCCCGGUCUGAUCGAUUUCCUUGGAUGAUCGAUCGAUUCAGCGUUUCUCCAUUUGCUGACCUCUCUCUCUUUCUCUCCUCUCUUAAAGGACUUCCUCUUCCUCGCGCUAUUUCCACCUCUCGUCCAUCGCCUAUGUACUCGAUAUAUAUAUACAUGUGUACACCUUAGAAAAUGAACACUGUGUAAUUACUCGAAGCUUUCUGUACACGUAAUCUCGAUGUAAAUUAGUUGGGUAAUUUAUUCGAGGGAAAUCAAUGAAGGGGCAUACACAGGAUCGGUAUAAAUCAGACACGGAACGUUCCUUUUUCUCUAUCUUCGUCUCUCUCCCUCCCUCUCUCUAUUUCUCUUUCUCUCUCUCUGUCUAACAGGAAGCAUCGCUUAUUCGAUCAAAUCGAUCGAUGGCUAAUAGACCUCUGCCGCGGGAGGAUCAUUAAUUAUGGCGUAAUACUACGUCGAGGAUGCGUCGAUCAACCCAAGAGAAGGGAACUGUUCCUCUCCUCUUUUAAGAGAAGAGAGAAAGAGAGAGAGAGAGAGAGAGAGAGAGAGAGAGAGAGAGAGAGAGACAGUUAAGCCAGGUAACCAAAGUUUUGGGCUGGAAACGUUGCCAGGCCUGCGCAGCCCUCAUCCUCCUACCCCGAAAAAGGGUACAGAGUGCCAGUCAUAUAUUAGAGAACUGUUGGGGACACCUAACAAGCUGGCAGGACACGUUUCCCAGAAUCGGGGCUAACCGCCACCCUCUAUGGCUCUCUCCCACCCCUCCCCAGGUUUUCUCCUUUUGUUUUCUCGAUAUUCCACCACGUAUUUCACGUCCAACUGGAAGCCAGCCGCGGAUAGAUAUUGUUUCGCACGCUCGUUUCACGCUCCUCGUAGACGAUCCUCUCUCUCUCUCUCUCUCUCUCUAAACCGUUCAUUCUUCUCCGAUUUUCUAAUCAACUCGAAGAACCCGUUAUUCUACGCGCAACGUUUUAUAACUUUAUAUAUUCUCUUUCCAAUAAUUAUUUUUCGAUCAAUUGAAUUGCUAGAAGAAUUUUGGUAUUCGAAAUAAAGUUAAUAUAGAGAUAGUUGCGAGACGAAUAAUAAUAGAAUAAUAGCAGUAGAAAUAAGUAACGCAUUUAUAGAUAAUUCAAAGGAACGAUCAUUUAAUAAUUUCAGAUCCACGUAGUUUUAAUCUCCUUUUUUUUUUUUUUUUUUCGUUCGUCUCCUUCGUUUCUCCCCCCUUCCUUUUUUUUUAUUGCUACUUUGUUCGAAGCGGAUGGCUUUUAAAAGUUUAAUUACCCAGGUUUAAGAGGUUUUCGCAACGGGGUAUUAAGGCGAGCGCGCAACUAUCGUCCCCCUCCUCCAGGCUUAUCGGUGAUUAUUAAUCCGGUAGUUCCCUUUUAUAUACAUGGUGAGCUGUGCAACCUGUUCGCCCAGGAAUUAUUAUUAACAAGAUCGCGCAACCCUCGGGGCAUUAAACGAUAAAUAGAAACGGUACCACUCGCGGCAUUAAACUGUCUAGAGAUUGAGUAAAAAGCUGGUGUGGUGUAUAUAAAAGGAAGGGAGUCAUUUCUGUUCUUGAAAAGUAUUGAAUUGAAAAAGAGGAGUAUGGAUUAAAGGUGAUAAGAUUCUAGUGGGCAAUUAAAAUUAACUCAUCAUCGACGACGCCUCUCGCACAACUGUUACUCGAUCCGGAACCGAGAUGAAAUUACACAAUUUCCACGGUUGUUUUCCACGGUUUUUUAACCACUGAUCGAUACAAAAGUCUCGAAAGGAAGGAAAAAGCAUCGAUAAUUUCAGCUUUUCACUCGACACUGACUCACGAGAUCGUCUCUACCUGGAAUUGGAACUCGACAUUUUCAACUUUUGAGAAGCUUGGUUAGAAACUUGAGACACGCA